This 2698-nucleotide long non-coding RNA is filed under the name Mus musculus (house mouse). RNAcentral describes it as "rhabdomyosarcoma 2 associated transcript (non-coding RNA)". The record is from RNAcentral. Lineage: Eukaryota; Metazoa; Chordata; Mammalia; Rodentia; Muridae.
AUAUUCUGCACGGGCUUCUGGGCAGGCAGCACUAACACUCAGGAGAAGGUCUGCCUCUGUCUGCGCCUUCCUGGUUCAAUGCAGGCAGAUGAGUGUCACAGAUGUAACUGAGGCACUGAAUAAUCAACAUAUCGGAGCCAAUUCCCAGGACGGCAAGAGGGGGAACCGGCAGAGAUGACUGACCCUGGAGGACAAGAGCAUUCUUCUGACAAGUUUUAGGUAAGGGAAUAUUUAUAUACAAUUCGUUCGGAAUCUUUGUGCCUGAGAGAGACAUUUGUGAUUAAGAAAAAGGAAGUCACUAUAGGUAAAUAUCUUUGAGAGGGUACCCUCCCUGGUGUCCCUGGCUUGCAGAACCUGUCAGUGUAAAUGCCUGCUUUGUGUUACUAGACUCUUCAGAGGUGAGGUGUGUGCGGGGACUGGAGGAAGGGUGAGCUGCUUUUUAUGUCUGUGUGGUGACAUUUAUCAUGCUGUUUAAAUCUGUAUCUGUAGAAAAAAAAUAGAAUUUCUGUUUGACGAUAGUAUCGUUUUUUUUUUGUGCAAGGCAGAGCAUAUGGCUGUGCAGAAUUCAAGUGGCGUUCUUUCAUUCUUAAUUUGUAAUUAUUUUUACACUCAACAGUACUGAGGUCAGAGAGUUUUAAAAAUUAAUGAGAUUCCCUGUGGAGUUCAAAUAGUAAUAUCUACAGUGAGCCUCCACAAAGAGAUAAGAUUAGGCCAGUAUAUUUUUGCUAUAGAUUUGGCUGUCUUACUUUGAAUACACGCCAUCUGAAAGCAUAUGUAGGGUUCAAUAGUUUCUGGGAGUUGCUGUGAUUUGGAGACUAGCCCUUAAUUUAAUGUUUAGUGACCAGGAGCCAUGCAGUCCCAGUUAGAGUGCUGAAGAUGAACACGGUGAGCGGAGACAUUCCUAAAACUUCACAGACAUUAUUGUCAUGACAAUGGAGGGUAUCUUAGACUUUCGAGGAAAUAGCAAAUGAUGAAUGAGGCGCGUGCUAAGAAGAGGAAAAAAAUCUGCAAAUGUAUUUUUAUUUUAAGUACUGUGUGAAAAUUCUAUGUAGAAACGGCUAUUUAGGAUCAAAGAUUGCUGGUCUGAACAAAGAGGCAAGGAUCUGUACAGGUGAAAAUUUCUUUGCCACAAAAGGAGUCUAGACCUUGGAUUAAGGACAGUAAGUGAUUUGUUAUUUAUUUAUUUAUUUAUUUAUUUAUUAUUAUUAUUAUUAUUAUUAUUUAAAUCUUUACUCUUGCCCCACAAAGGUAGCUCACUGGGCGAGUCCAGGCAUUUAAAACUUUGAUUUCCCACAAUUUAAAAACAUUGUUGAUGUCCGUGGUCUAAGACACUGUUUACAAGAGAGGCACUGCCAAGUAGUCUGAACAUAGAGUAAUCUGGGCUAAAGAUGUUUUUAUCCCUAGCUCCCCAUUUACAAGAUCCAUUCAGGUCUUCCUCUGACACAUUGUUAUGUAAAUACUGUUCGGCCAGGGAAAGCCCGGCGAUGGAGAUUCAAUUUACUUUGAAAGUUGUUCAUUAUAGCAAGGAUGAAUGUUAUUUAUUUGAAGCGAUUCAAAGACUGGAAAUGACUUUUUCAUUGUGGUACCUUUUGUGAUGGGUUCAGGGUGAUCUAAUCUUUUUAAUUUUGGCUUUCACACCAGUGGAGAUGAAAAGAGAUCUGAACUCAUUUAUCGGUUGCUAGGUCUUUCUGGAAGCCGAAGUUCUGCUUGUGGUUGCUAUGGCCGGGCUGACCUCAAUCUCUGUGGUUUGAGGGACUUAAGCAGUCAUUUUUUUUUUCUUUUCUUUUCUUUCUUUCCUUUUUUUUUUUAAUUGAAGAGCAUGUACCUUGAUUUAUGUCCAAAACUGUAGCUGAAUGUCUUUGUCCGCGGGUGAUAUAUGGUGCAGAACAAUUCAUCUGUUCUUACGAGUAAACACCGCUGUCCCACUAAAAAUAUGUUUUGUUCGGAGUUAAUGGUAUGGAACAGGGCAUUCUCCACAAACAGCUAUCUUUUAUUGUGUUGGGGCCGCGGAAACGCUGAGCAAAGUGCAGGAAAUUGGCAUCAGUCCUCGCGUCUAUUAGCAUUUCAUUUGUGAGUCGCCUGAUAAGACGGUAGGUGGACAGAGCGAGCGAGGACGGGUGUCUCCGGUGUCUCGACAUCCUCACUUUCUCAGCUGGGACCGCCUAGCCUGUACCCGCAUUUGCCAGGACCCAGUAAGUCAGCGUUAGUUUCCCCUGACCUGGUGAGAGCAUCGCUUUGCCCAAGCGCUAAAGCACACCCAGGAGGACGGGCUGUGGCUCCGCGCUUGGGACCAGUAGUCUUAGGCUCCUUGAGGCAAAGUUGCUGGGUCCGAUCUCGGCAACACCCAGAAACGUAAUGCCUAUGUGCGAUUGCACCAGUCGCUUGCUUUCUAGACCCUUGUUAGAAAGGAACAAGGUGAAUCAGAGGCUAUGGAGAACACAGCCCCAUUCAGCAGAUGCGCCCGAAUACAGCCCUGCUCCUUAAAAACUGCUAACUGAUGGAUGCUGCGGGGGGGGGGGGAAGAGACAACACGAGUAAGAUGAGGGUGAAAUAGAAAUCAGGAAAAGCACGUAUCGCCGCUAGCACCAUCAUCUUCCUUCUCACAGCAGCUUGGUGGGUUUUCUUUCUUUCUCUCCCUCUCUUUUUUAAUAUGCUAAUGAUUUUUCUUCUAAAUCGGCCAGCAUGGACUAUCCUCAGG